AUUGAACGCUGGCGGCAGGCCUAACACAUGCAAGUCGAGCGGCUGAAGGGAGCUUGCUCCUGGAUUCAGCGGCGGACGGGUGAGUAAUGCCUAGGAAUCUGCCUGGUAGUGGGGGAUAACGUCCGGAAACGGGCGCUAAUACCGCAUACGUCCUGAGGGCGAAAGUGGGGGAUCUUCGGACCUCACGCUCUCAGAUGAGCCUAGGUCGGAUUAGCUAGUUGGUGGGGUAAAGGCCUACCAAGGCGACGAUCCGUAACUGGUUUGAGAGGGUGAUCAGUCAACGCGGGAACUGAGAAACGGUCAAGAUUCCUAGGGGAGGCAGAAGGGGGGAAUAUGGGACAAGGGGCGAAGGCCUGAUCAAGCCAUGCGGGGGGGGUGAAGAAGGUCUGCGGAUGGUAAAGCACUUUAAGUGGGGAGGAAAGGCAGUAAGUUAAAACCUGGCUGUUUGAACGUAACCAACAGAAUAAGCACCGGCAAACUUCGU
Molecule: ribosomal RNA, 484 nt
Filed under: uncultured bacterium
Lineage: Bacteria
Description: partial 16S ribosomal RNA
Rfam family: Bacterial small subunit ribosomal RNA
Source: RNAcentral